Molecule: ribosomal RNA, 839 nt
Filed under: uncultured fungus
Lineage: Eukaryota; Fungi
Description: eukaryotic LSU rRNA
Rfam family: Eukaryotic small subunit ribosomal RNA (bases 1-243)
Source: RNAcentral
UUGCUCUUCAACGAGGAAUGCCUAGUAAGCGCGAGUCAUCAGCUCGCGUUGACUACGUCCCUGCCCUUUGUACACACCGCCCGUCGCUCCUACCGAUUGAAUGGUCCGGUGAAGUGUUCGGAUCGCGGCGACGGAGGCGGUUCGCCGCCCCCGACGUCGCGAGAAGUCCAUUGAACCUUAUCAUUUAGAGGAAGGAGAAGUCGUAACAAGGUUUCCGUAGGUGAACCUGCGGAAGGAUCAUUGUCGUGACCCUAAACAAAACAGACUGUGAACGUGUCAUCAAAGUCGUCGGGCUUCGGCUCGGCUAAGGCCCUCGACUUCGUCCCGGAGGAGAGGGCCGCAAAAGAACCCAGGGCGCCGAAGGCGUCAAGGAACACUUAUUGCCUUGCUCGGGGAUGUGGCCGGCUUGCCGGCCGCGCCCCCGUGCAGCGAUGCUAUGUAAACCAACACGACUCUCGGCAACGGAUAUCUCGGCUCUCGCAUCGAUGAAGAACGUAGCAAAAUGCGAUACCUGGUGUGAAUUGCAGAAUCCCGUGAACCAUCGAAUCUUUGAACGCACAUUGCGCCCUUUGGUAUUCCGAAGGGCAUGCCUGUUCGAGCGUCAUUUUCACCCCUCAAGCCCCCGGCUUGGUGUUGGACGGUUUGGUUUAGGUACCCCUAGACCCCUCCUAAAGACAAUGACGGCGGCUGUUGAACCCCCGGUACACUGAGCUUCUUAACUGAGCACGUAUCGGAUCUAGGGUUUGGCGGCACCCGGUCUAUACCUUUUUUGCUUACAAGGUUGACCUCGGAUCAGGUAGGAAUACCCGCUGAACUUAAGCAUAUCAAUAAGCGGAGGA